UCGAGGCUGUCGGUGUUCCUUGUUCUGAACGCCCGCCCUAUCGCCAUACAGUGGAUAAACCGCUCUCUGGUUAGGGUGGGACAGACUGCAAGGAGGCCCCGCCUGGCCCGGCCUCCGGGUAGAGGGCACUGCUCAGGGCGCAGAAACCUGUUGAAGCCACGGCAGCAAGCCUGUGAGGAAACUGCUAGGACCCCCAGGCGAGGAUGUAGGCAGGUGGAGAACGAGCCGGUUCAUCCAUGAAACUGUCCCAAGGGCUUACCGAGCCUGUGCACUUCUAAAUUGCACAGCGAACCCGAGGUGGAGACUUGGGGAGAGUACCAUACAAGCUGCCAGGAGGCUGGGACCUGGCGCCUGCUCUGGAGUCUAGCUUCCUUCUGAAAUACCCAGGAAGGUCAUAAGGGGAUCCCGUGCCCAUCCGCGGCUCCUCCUUCAGCUCACACUCAGAGGUGGACUUUGAACCCCAUUCCCCAGGCGUGGAUGUCCCCCUCCUCUUCUCCCUGACCCUUCCCUUGGUGCCCAUUUGCCCAAUCUUGCCAGCCCCCCCCCCCCAUUUCUCUGGUGCGGUUCUCCGUGCCUCCCCAGAUCCCUUCCUUUGGCUGAGGGAGACUUCCAAGGGCAGGGGGUUCCCAGUCGGGAUGGACUUGUUCUCCCCUCUUCUCUGUCUCCUACAGUUCUAUUUACAGCUUUUUCCCCAGAUGUCCUUGGCUCUUCUCUCUCCCUAAGAUGAUCCUGCUUUCACCAUCUCUUGGUUCACCUCCUCGUGUUCCCUGUACCUUCCGUCUUUCCCUCAACCUUCCGGCUCCUCCUAGCCGUGAACGAGCGGGUUUUGUGUGCCGGCCAUUGGGCACAGCUUGUUGUCAUCCUUGAUGUGUUUAAAACUCACUCUGCAGGUCUGCGAGGGAUAAAUAGUUCUCCGCUUUUGUCUGAAUUGUUCAAGGCCACGGAGCAACUCGUUAGAAUCGGAGCCACAGUCAGGAGAUCCAGCUAAACCUCGGCUGCUGUACGGGAUGGUUGUGGCACCUUGGAGACAGACCCAGGAGCCAAAGUCAUAGAACAGGCCAGGGUCUGGCCACCUGUGGACCUCCUGUCCAUGCCCAUAACCAAAGACCACCAGGAACAAAGUUGGAUUUACUGAUUUGUUGCCGACGACGUACGGGUAUAGCCGAGGAGUCCUGGGGCGUCUCAGUACGAAGGUGUCACAAGGGACUUAUAACAGAACUUGUGUUAAAAACCGUAGGGGGGGGGUGGAGUUUCGAGGAAGCGGGGGUUCAUUCUGGACUGCAUGCUUUCAGGAAGCAAGAUCCAUUCUGUGAUUGAGCAUCUCAAUUUUCAUAGAGAAGCUGAGACAAAGGCAGAGCUAAAACUGCGGUUGGUAACCAGACAGCCAUCGCUGGGGGGCGGGGAAUGUUGGGUGGUUUUUGUGGUUCGCACAGUGGCCUUCAUUUUGUCUGUGCUUGGACACAAGCGUGGAAUAGUCCUGUUUGGUCAGGCCUUGUCUGAUGGUGGCUAUCCAAGAGACUGGUUCUGUUCAGGCCUAGCUGUGAGCACCUGGCUGAUCAGAGCUAGCUGCCAGGGACUACUUUUCUCUUUCUCACCUCAAAGGCAAAGCCUUGACCUUCAAGGGCCAGCUGCCUGUCCAUCCUAGUCUCAUAUCUUCAUGUUGGGAUAAGGAUCAUCACACUGGAAAAGGAAGAGGGAUGGACAAGAACAGGGAGGGGAGUUUCCUGGGGGUGGGGGUGAAAUAGCAGCCUAGCUUAGGGUGUUCAUGGCUCUGUGACUUGAACGGAUCCAGGGUUCCCUUCCUCUAUUGGAGGAAGCUCUGAUAAAGAGGUGGGGGGAGGGCAGUAAAUGGCCAUUCUUAGUACAGAUAAUUCUCACUUAGAAACACGAUCCGUUCUCUUAGGAAACCUAGGUGGAGUGAUCAUACGUCCCAAUUUUCUGGUACACUCCUGCUCUCAAGUGUUACAACUACUCGAUUACUGUGGAUAUAGUUUUGCUACAUAUUUUAUAGAAUUCAGACUUUUUAGUGAAGGGAAUCCAUUACUUGUCUGACCCUAUGAGGAGCAGACAGCAAAAUGGAAUUCGAAGUGCAAGAGAUUUAUUAGGGGGAACACCUGUGAGGGAUCAAGGGUUUGAGGGAGCAGGAGCCGGCA
Long non-coding RNA from Prionailurus viverrinus (fishing cat), 2153 nucleotides. RefSeq lists it as uncharacterized. The transcript has 3 exons. NCBI's taxonomy places the organism in Eukaryota, Metazoa, Chordata, Mammalia, Carnivora, Felidae. The record is from RefSeq and is a predicted model, not a curated record.